RNAcentral lists this ribosomal RNA (501 nucleotides) under uncultured bacterium. Its description in RNAcentral is "partial 16S ribosomal RNA". It matches the Rfam family "Bacterial small subunit ribosomal RNA", at positions 30 to 523 of the family's 1533-position model. The record is from RNAcentral.
AUUGAACGCUGGCGGCAUGCCUUACACAUGCAAGUCGAACGGCAGCACGGGUGCUUGCACCUGGUGGCGAGUGGCGAACGGGUGAGUAAUAUAUCGGAACGUACCUUAUUGUGGGGGAUAACGCAGCGAAAGCUGUGCUAAUAACGCAUAACCCAUAAGGGGGAAAGCGGGGGACCGUAAGGCCUCGCGCAAUUAGAGCGGCCGAUACCUGAUUAGCUAGUUGGUGAGGUAAAGGCUCACCAAGGCAACGAUCAGUAGCUGGUCUGAGAGGACGAUCAGCCACACUGGGACUGAGACACGGCCCAGACUCCUACGGGAGGCAGCAGUGGGGAAUUUUGGACAAUGGGGGCAACCCUGAUCCAGCAAUGCCGCGUGAGUGAAGAAGGCCUUCGGGUUGUAAAGCUCUUUUGUCAGGGAAGAAACAGCAGCUCUAACACAGUUUGCGAAUGACGGUACCUGAAGAAUAAGCACCGGCUAACUACGUGCCAGCCGCCGCAGUAA